This 310-nucleotide ribosomal RNA is filed under the name uncultured bacterium. RNAcentral describes it as "partial 16S ribosomal RNA". It matches the Rfam family "Bacterial small subunit ribosomal RNA", at positions 503 to 807 of the family's 1533-position model. The record is from RNAcentral.
AAGAGACAGCAGUCGCCGCGGUAAUACGAAGGGUGCAAGCGUUAAUCGGAAUUACUGGGCGUAAAGCGUGCGUAGGCGGUGAGUUAAGUCUGCUGUGAAAUCCCCGGGCUCAACCUGGGAAUGGCAAUGGAUACUGGCAAGCUAGAGUGUGUCAGAGGAUGGUGGAAUUCCCGGUGUAGCGGUGAAAUGCGUAGAGAUCGGGAGGAACAUCAGUGGCGAAGGCGGCCAUCUGGGACAACACUGACGCUGAGGCACGAGAGCGUGGGGAGCAAACAGGAUUAGAUACCCCGGUAGUCCCUGUCUCUUAUAC